UGUCCCAUGGCUUAGUUGGUUACGGCGUCCGACUGUCAUAAUAUGAGGUUAACAGCAUUUGUGACAUCGGAAGAUCGAGAGUUCGAGUCUCUCUGGGACAG
This 101-nucleotide transfer RNA is filed under the name Laccaria bicolor S238N-H82. It matches the Rfam family "tRNA". From Rfam's summary of the family: Transfer RNA (tRNA) molecules are approximately 80 nucleotides in length. Their secondary structure includes four short double-helical elements and three loops (D, anti-codon, and T loops). Further hydrogen bonds mediate the characteristic L-shaped molecular structure. tRNAs have two regions of fundamental functional importance: the anti-codon, which is responsible for specific mRNA codon recognition, and the 3' end, to which the tRNAs corresponding amino acid is attached (by aminoacyl-tRNA synthetases). tRNAs cope with the degeneracy of the genetic code in two manners: having more than one tRNA (with a specific anti-codon) for a particular amino acid; and 'wobble' base-pairing, i.e. permitting non-standard base-pairing at the 3rd anti-codon position. The record is from Rfam by way of RNAcentral. Lineage: Eukaryota; Fungi; Basidiomycota; Agaricomycetes; Agaricales; Hydnangiaceae.